GAGACACGGCCAGACUCUACGGAGGCCAGCAGUGGGGAUAUGACCAAUGGCGCAGCUGAUCCAGUCAUGGCCGCGUGUGUGAAGAAGGUCUUUUGGGUGUAAAGCACUUUAAGCGAGGAGGAGGGCUACUUGGAUUAAUACUCUAGGAUAGUGGACGUUACUCGCAGAAUAAGCACCGGCUAACUCUGUGCCAGCAGCCGCGGUAAUACAGAGGGUGCGAGCGUUAAUCGGAUUUACUGGGCGUAAAGCGUGCGUAGGCGGCUUUUUAAGUCGGAUGUGAAAUCCCUGAGCUUAACUUAGGAAUUGCAUUCGAUACUGGGAAGCUAGAGUAUGGGAGAGGAUGGUAGAAUUCCAGGUGUAGCGGUGAAAUGCGUAGAGAUCUGGAGGAAUACCGAUGGCGAAGGCAGCCAUCUGGCCUAAUACUGACGCUGAGGUACGAAAGCAUGGGGAGCAAACAGGAUUAGAUACCCUGGUAGUCCAUGCCGUAAACGAUGUCUACUAGCCGUUGGGGCCUUUGAGGCUUUAGUGGCGCAGCUAACGCGAUAAGUAGACCGCCUGGGGAGUACGGUCGCAAGACUAAAACUCAAAUGAAUUGACGGGGGCCCGCACAAGCGGUGGAGCAUGUGGUUUAAUUCGAUGCAACGCGAAGAACCUUACCUGGUCUUGACAUAGUAAGAACUUUCCAGAGAUGGAUUGGUGCCUUCGGGAACUUACAUACAGGUGCUGCAUGGCUGUCGUCAGCUCGUGUCGUGAGAUGUUGGGUUAAGUCCCGCAACGAGCGCAACCCUUUUCCUUAUUUGCCAGCGGGUUAAGCCGGGAACUUUAAGGAUACUGCCAGUGACAAACUGGAGGAAGGCGGGGACGACGUCAAGUCAUCAUGGCCCUUACGACCAGGGCUACACACGUGCUACAAUGGUCGGUACAAAGGGUUGCUACCUAGCGAUAGGAUGCUAAUCUCAAAAAGCCGAUCGUAGUCCGGAUUGGAGUCUGCAACUCGACUCCAUGAAGUCGGAAUCGCUAGUAAUCGCGGAUCAGAAUGCCGCGGUGAAUACGUUCCCGGGCCU
Molecule: ribosomal RNA, 1064 nt
Filed under: Acinetobacter sp. enrichment culture
Lineage: Bacteria; Pseudomonadati; Pseudomonadota; Gammaproteobacteria; Moraxellales; Moraxellaceae
Description: bacterial SSU rRNA
Rfam family: Bacterial small subunit ribosomal RNA
Source: RNAcentral